AAGAUUAGACUUAAAUGUUAGGGUCUCGCUGUUCUCCCCUGUUACUCUCAGUCCUGACCUUGGAAUCCGGAGGCGAUUCUACACAUUCAGAGAAAAGCAAGCGCAGGGCUCUCUGGUUAUAGAGUUUAUGUGUGCGUGCGUGCUCGUGAGGACGAGGUUAUUUUAUGGUUGUGUGAGUGUGUGUGUGUGCGCGUGUGCGUGCGUGCGAGAGAUGUGUGGGGUAUCCAAAUAUAGCCAGACUCAGAGAUUGAUGUUCAUUAUUUUAUGAGACAAGGAAAGGAGGAAGCUUUGGUGACUACAGACCUUGUACACACGGAUCUUGAGGAACUUGUGGGGGGUCCCUGUGUGAGAAGAGCACGGAUUGGUCGAAUGACGAGUUUUCGUAUGCUCCAAUGAAAUCCUUCACUGCUCUCUAUUUACUGUGAGCUGGAGCGCAGUAAACCCCCUCCUUCAACAGAUCUAUCGACUGACAGGAGUAGAUCAGCUUUUUGCUUAACCACAUCACGAACAUGAGAAUAUGUACAGUAUGGCCAUAGGAAGGGCAUCGGAGCACGGAUAAAAUUACGGUGCGCGGGCUCGUAUGGGAAGGGAGUCGUAAACCAGAGCGGAUUCUGUGCAUUUCUGCGCGAAUGUGUAGAACUGGAGUCUACUGCACACGGUCCGGCCAUUGGCUACAACAACAUGGACUGUUAGUAAUUAUGGACCAAGCCUGCAACUCAGAUGUCACAUUCAAAGCGUAAGGAAAAGUCUUUCACGAAUCUUUUUGCGGUCUGGGCUUGCUGUUCUCAACUAUCAAUGGGAAGCCCUUACCCCAAAAAGCAUUUGCGGAGGGCACACACAGCGAAUAAUAGAAGAAAGCUCUCUCUUACUUCUGUUCCUCUUGGACUAUCACCAUAUUCAACGUCAGAACGGCAAACAUUGCAAUUCUAAUGAGUACUAUUUUAUUUUUUUUUAACUGGGAAAAAAAAUCCAAGGUUUUACUAUUUUCUUUCUUUUUUGAGUCUGGCACUCCCUUUCAGUAUCAAGUGGCUCCAACCGCGCCUUAUCAAUUUAACGUGAUUUAAUUCUGAAUUUUAACACUGAGGGUUGGGGACUGUAUGCUUACUAUAUAACUAAAAUAAACGAUGCGAUGCUUAACGGUUUUACCAUGUGAAUAAACAACUGAAUUAAAGCACAAAUGCAAUAAAAAUAUUAUUACAUCUUGA
This is a long non-coding RNA of Carassius gibelio (silver crucian carp), 1205 nucleotides long. RefSeq lists it as uncharacterized. The transcript is spliced from 2 exons. The record is from RefSeq and is a predicted model, not a curated record. NCBI's taxonomy places the organism in Eukaryota, Metazoa, Chordata, Actinopteri, Cypriniformes, Cyprinidae.